RNAcentral lists this ribosomal RNA (253 nucleotides) under uncultured bacterium. RNAcentral describes it as "partial 16S ribosomal RNA". It matches the Rfam family "Archaeal small subunit ribosomal RNA", at positions 474 to 727 of the family's 1478-position model. The record is from RNAcentral.
UACCAGCACCCCGAGUGGUCGGGACGUUUAUUGGGCCUAAAGCAUCCGUAGCCGGUCCUGCAAGUCUUCCGUUAAAUCCAGCUGCUCAACAGAUGGGCUGCGGGAGAUACUACAGGGCUAGGAGGCGGGAGAGGCAAGCGGUACUUUAUGGGUAGGGGUAAAAUCCGCUGAUCCAUAGAAGACCACCAGUGGCGAAGGCGGCUUGCCAGAACGCGCUCGACGGUGAGGGAUGAAAGCUGGGGGAGCAAACCGG